RNAcentral lists this ribosomal RNA (468 nucleotides) under uncultured bacterium. Its description in RNAcentral is "partial 16S ribosomal RNA". It matches the Rfam family "Bacterial small subunit ribosomal RNA", at positions 28 to 507 of the family's 1533-position model. The record is from RNAcentral.
GACGAACGCUGGCGGCGUGCUUAACACAUGCAAGUCGAACGGAAAGGCCCUGCUUUUGUGGGGUGCUCGAGUGGCGAACGGGUGAGUAACACGUGAGUAACCUGCCCUUGACUUUGGGAUAACUUCAGGAAACUGGGGCUAAUACCGGAUAGGAGCUCCUGCUGCAUGGUGGGGGUUGGAAAGUUUCGGCGGUUGGGGAUGGACUCGCGGCUUAUCAGCUUGUUGGUGGGGUAGUGGCUUACCAAGGCUUUGACGGGUAGCCGGCCUGAGAGGGUGACCGGCCACAUGGGGCCUGAGAGACGGACCAGACUCCUACGUGCGGCAGCGGUGGGGAGUAUUGCACAGUGGGCGGAAGCCUGAUGCAGCAACGCCGCGUGCGGGAUGACGGCCUUCGGGUUGUGAACCGCUUUCGCCUGUGACGAAGCGUGAGUGACGGUAAUGGGUAAAGAAGCACCGGCUAACUACGUG